UGGCGGCAUGCCUUACACAUGCAAGUCGAACGGCAGCACGGGAGCAAUCCUGGUGGCGAGUGGCGAACGGGUGAGUAAUAUAUCGGAACGUGCCCAGUCGUGGGGGAUAACGUAGCGAAAGCUACGCUAAUACCGCAUACGAUCUACGGAUGAAAGCGGGGGAUCGCAAGACCUCGCGCGAUUGGAGCGGCCGAUAUCAGAUUAGGUAGUUGGUGAGGUAAAGGCUCACCAAGCCAACGAUCUGUAGCUGGUCUGAGAGGACGACCAGCCACACUGGAACUGAGACACGGUCCAGACUCCUACGGGAGGCAGCAGUGGGGAAUUUUGGACAAUGGACGCAAGUCUGAUCCAGCCAUUCCGCGUGCAGGAUGAAGGCCCUCGGGUUGUAAACUGCUUUGUACGGAACGAAAAGGUUUGUCUUAAUACGAUGAGCUCAUGACGGUACCGUAAGAAUAAGCACCGGCUAACUACGUG
RNAcentral lists this ribosomal RNA (474 nucleotides) under uncultured bacterium. Its description in RNAcentral is "bacterial SSU rRNA". It matches the Rfam family "Bacterial small subunit ribosomal RNA", at positions 37 to 507 of the family's 1533-position model. The record is from RNAcentral.